This 253-nucleotide ribosomal RNA is filed under the name uncultured bacterium. RNAcentral describes it as "partial 16S ribosomal RNA". It matches the Rfam family "Bacterial small subunit ribosomal RNA", at positions 524 to 776 of the family's 1533-position model. The record is from RNAcentral.
UACGUAGGGGGCGAGCGUUGUCCGGAAUCAUUGGGCGUAAAGAGCACGUAGGCGGUCCUGUAAGUCGGAUGUGAAAUCUCUGGGCUCAACCCGGAAACUGCAUUCGAAACUGCGGGACUUGAGGAAGGUAGAGGAGAGUGGAAUUUCCGGUGUAGCGGUGGAAUGCGCAGAGAUCGGAAGGAACACCAGUUGCGAAGGCGGCUCUCUGGGCCUUUCCUGACGCUGAGGUGCGAAAGCGUGGGGAGCGAACAGG